GACAUGAAGGAGUGUGACGACCCAUGUCAUUAUUAUUAUAGAUAAUGACACUAGUCCUUGAAUUAUUUCUUGACAAAAUCUUGUUUGUCAAAUAAUAAUUCAUGUCAGAGAUUUGCAACAGGGAAUAGCUAGAGAUGGUAAUUUAUAUUACAAUACCAUGCCACGCAGGGCUAAAAGUCUCAGGUAGGCUUCUCACUUGUUCACCAAAUUAUUACAUCUCCUAACACUGGAGUUCCAACUAGCAGUACCAAAUAGGUGGUGAUAAAAAUAGUUCCUGGAUUACAUAGCUAGAUGAUAGUUACUUAUUCAUCCCAACCCCCAUAUGUGGCAUCCAGAUCGUACAUAGCACUAGAUGGAUCCACAUCUAGGUCCCCUGUGUAGUUGUAGCCAUCACCAUUGCUCUCCUCACUUGGUCCAGUAGAAUUCUCAUACAAGCUUUGCUCUAAGAAAAAGAUGAUUAAUAGCAAGGGUGAGUACAAAGUACUCAGCAAGCUCAAAUAGCAAAAUGCAACACUCAUGAUAGCUCAAUAUAAAUCAACAAGUCCUACCUCAACUCAACACCUUUCAAAGUAAACAUUUGUUGCAGAAGUUCAUUUCAAUUUAUAAAAGCUAUCAAACACUCAUACUACGAGAUAGACCACCAAUAGGUCCCCGUAGCCCCCAAUCCAAGAGACUGGCAUGAAUUCAUGUUUUACUUUAACUCUGCAGAGUUCGUAUCACUUUACCCAUAGAGCUCGAAACCAUAAUUGCCAUCUGCAUUUCCUUAGAUGCGAGACAUGGUUCAGAACAUAAAGCUUUUUCCCAUUGUGUAUAUUAUAUCUCCACCCGGCUAGUGUCACUAGCCGUUGUAUCAGGUUUCGGAACCCGCACUCCACCAACACUUAAUAUAUAACGCUUGCUAAUGCACCCAUCCGGCAUUAGCGUGGGAACUCAUCGCCCAUCCUACUACUACUUACCCAUGUGGAGAGUAUAAUAACUUGAUGGUAUUGGGCUCAACUCGUCUUCGACGAGACCAUGGUUGAUACGGUUGUAGUACGGCGCAUAAAACGAAUGAAAGUUAUUUAAUCUUAAUAUACUAGCCAUAUGUAGAGGGCCCCACCUUCCAGUAUGUAGUAUGUCCAUCCAGGGCACCCUCUACCCACCAAAUAAUUAUAAAAAAAAUAAAUAAAUCAAUCAAUUAGCUGCUCCAUCAGCUAACCCAACUCUUUGUCAACAGUCACUCCACACAAUUUAUUACCAAAACAUUUUAUGCAAGUUGAUAAUAAGAUAGUAGUGAAUAGUGUUUUUGGAAAAAUAUUUCUACUCAGCAUGAUCGAGGAGAGCUUGCCUGAGUUAUCGUAUUCAGCCCCGAACUCAGUUUGCUUUUGUAGCGCCUCCUUCUCCUGACUAUACUCGCUUCCUGCAGUUCGGCAAAUAUAUACCGAGACUAAGUCGAGUGAAUAACUAAAGAAUAAAAUACGCCGGUGCAGUGUGAUCAUCCUACGGUCACCAAGGUUUAAACUUGUAAAAUUAUUAUACCAGAUAUUUGAUAUGUAUCAGUGUAGUGUGUACUGGGUAGCUAGCAUUAUUGAGAUGGCAUCUAACUAGCUAAUUAGUACUAAUAUCCUGAGAGUGUACGUGACAUUUCAGCUUAAGCUAAGUGACUCUUUCUCUCUCUCCUAGUACUAGUACUAGUACUCAAGUAUUAGUUGUGAAGCGAACGAGCACAUAAGUUGCAGCACACAAGUCGCUGAUGCCCUCCUCUGGUUCCUCUGCUCCUUGUCCAGAUCGAUCCUGCCGCCAGCGAUGGAAAGAUGCUGCUCCGCCGCUGCCUGAUCUUCCGCUCUCUCUCUCCCCCCUGGUCCAAAUCCCUAAUUUUUCCCCAAGGAUUCAACCCCAAACUUUCUAAUCCCCUCUCAGAUUUGUCGUGCAGGUUAUGUUCUUGUUGGGGCUGCUCUUCCUCUGCUGCUCCAGAUUGAACUCGCCGGCGCUGAUGACCGCGGUGCCGCUGGGUGGUGCAGGUUAACGCUCAAGUGUGCAGCCAUGGAGCAGAUCGAGCAUAUGUGCAGGUUAGUGAUGCCCUUGUUCCUCUCCCUAUUUUUUUAUGCUCAAGUUCUCAGAUCUAGUAAAUUAAUUUAGUCUCAUGUGCAUGUGUGUGUACUGAACCAGUUCCUCCUGUGCAAGAUGUUUGUGUAGUGAUGCUGUACAAAUACCUUGCUUCAUUUUAUUUUACUUAUUUGAGGCUGUAUCCCCUUUCUUUCUUAUACUGUUACUUCCAAAAACAGAGAUAGAUGUUCUUGCUGUGAUUUGUGUGCACGUAUGGAUCACUGGGAUACUUUUGUAUGUGCAUCUGGGCUGGCUUCUUUGUGCUUGUGAAUACUAAAGAAAUGGCAGAAGAAGAAGAGCUCACCUUUCUUCUCUUGCUCCCUCUGUUGGUCCUACUAGUGUUGCUCCUACCUCCAGACCCCAGUCCAGUAGGCUAGCUUCUUGCUCUAGCCUGUCCCCUUCGAUCUCCAAUAUUGCUCAGGUCACCAUCUUCACUUAUUGCUCUUGGAUUCUUGUUGGUUGUAGGUAGAGAGAUGAAGACGGUGGGGAAGACAAGCUGUUGGUUUGGCUAUUUGGAAGAAUGGAGAUGAGUGAGGUCUUGGCAAUGGCUUGCCCUGCUCUCUCCCCUCUUAAUAUCAGAAAUCCAUCUCCCCUGGCUGGUAUGGCAGCCCAUUCCCUUCUCCAUUGUUCUCACAGGUGCUAGCUUCUAAUUGGCUGAAGGUUGAAGCCCAUACAUAGACUAUACUAUUGACCAAUUGACUAUUAAUAUAUUGUGCACGUGAGAGUGGUGGUUAGUGUGUCUCAACUGUGUCCUGUUGUCCUAGUUGACUCAAAGAUAUUUUGUGUUGGUCUAAGUUUGGUGUGGCAUUGCUGUAUAGAUUAGCAUAGUAUGGUCUCCCUAUACUUUUGUCCAAAGAUUUGUAAUACACUUGUACAACUGUACUGUUUGAGGUGUGUGAAUAUAAAUAUAUAUUUGAGUGGUUAUGCUGGUUGAAGAAAUCUGAAAUGUAUUUUCUUAAUUUAUUCUACUUAAUUAUCUAAUUAAGGUGGAAUUACUAUGUGAAAAUAUACGGAUCGUUACAAGGAGCCACUGCGUGAGCUAGUUACAUCACGAUUUGGACCAUGUUCCCAACCUGCAUGCGUUACAUUGGUUAGCUGUCAGCAGCCACAUGUUUACGUGGUUGACAUCAACAAAAACUUCAAAUUUUUGUGGACGUUCUAUAUCACAUGGCAAGCACAAUGGUAGCACCACACACACAUUUCUCCCUGCGCACGUGUGGGAUUUCCCCCUAAUAACUAGCAUGUUUGGUGAAAUGUGUGAAGUCCUGCUACAACCAACAGAGAAGGAAAAACGCUACUGAACCUCAAUUUGAGAUAAAUGGAACCAAUUUAGCCCAUACUAUGUCACCACCCAUUUCUUUUAUAAGAUCGUCGUGUGUGCGUGCGUGUGGUGCUUGUGUGUGUGUUCAGUGUGCUCGUGCCAUGGGUAUGUCUUUUUCUUUAUUUUUUGAAUAAAUCAGAAGUUCAUACAUACAAAAAAUCAAAGUCCAAAUAUCUUCGGUAUAUGUUCUGAAAAAGCUCGGCAGUUAUUUCACCAUCUCUAAAAAACAAAAAAAAAA
This 3644-nucleotide long non-coding RNA is filed under the name Triticum aestivum (bread wheat). RNAcentral's name for it is "long non-coding RNA (TAES_LNC004709)". The record is from RNAcentral. Lineage: Eukaryota; Viridiplantae; Streptophyta; Magnoliopsida; Poales; Poaceae.